GACGAACGCUGGCGGCGUGCCUAAUACAUGCAAGUAGAACGCUGAAGGAGGAGCUUGCUUCUCUGGAUGAGUUGCGAACGGGUGAGUAACGCGUAGGUAACCUGCCUGGUAGCGGGGGAUAACUAUUGGAAACGAUAGCUAAUACCGCAUAAGAGUAGAUGUCGCAUGACAUUUGCUUAAAAGGUGCAAUUGCAUCACUACCAGAUGGACCUGCGUUGUAUUAGCUAGUUGGUGGGGUAACGGCUCACCAAGGCGACGAUACAUAGCCGACCUGAGAGGGUGAUCGGCCACACUGGGACUGAGACACGGCCCAGACUCCUACGGGAGGCAGCAGUAGGGAAUCUUCGGCAAUGGACGGAAGUCUGACCGAGCAACGCCGCGUGAGUGAAGAAGGUUUUCGGAUCGUAAAGCUCUGUUGUAAGAGAAGAACGAGUGUGAGAGUGGAAAGUUCACACUGUGACGGUAUCUUACCAGAAAGGGACGGCUAACUACGUG
Molecule: ribosomal RNA, 495 nt
Filed under: uncultured bacterium
Lineage: Bacteria
Description: partial 16S ribosomal RNA
Rfam family: Bacterial small subunit ribosomal RNA
Source: RNAcentral